GCAGCAGCCGCGGGAAUACAGAGGGUGCGAGCGUUAAUCGGAUUUACUGGGCGUAAAGCGUGCGUAGGCGGCUAAUUGAGUCGGAUGUGAAAUCCCCGAGCUUAACUUGGGAAUUGCAUUCGAUACUGGUUAGCUAGAGUGUGGGAGAGGAUGGUAGAAUUCCAGGUGUAGCGGUGAAAUGCGUAGAGAUCUGGAGGAAUACCGAUGGCGAAGGCAGCCAUCUGGCCUAACACUGACGCUGAGGUACGAAAGCAUGGGGAGCAAACAGGAUUAGAUACCCCCGUAGUCCCUGUCUCUUAUAU
This 302-nucleotide ribosomal RNA is filed under the name uncultured bacterium. RNAcentral describes it as "partial 16S ribosomal RNA". It matches the Rfam family "Bacterial small subunit ribosomal RNA", at positions 508 to 809 of the family's 1533-position model. The record is from RNAcentral.